This 275-nucleotide ribosomal RNA is filed under the name uncultured bacterium. RNAcentral's name for it is "partial 16S ribosomal RNA". It matches the Rfam family "Bacterial small subunit ribosomal RNA", at positions 523 to 796 of the family's 1533-position model. The record is from RNAcentral.
AGACGAAGGGAGCGAGCGUUGUUCGGUAUCACUGGGCUUAAAGGGCGCGUAGGCGGCCAGAUGGGUCGGUUGUGAAAUCCCUGGGCUCAACCCAGGAAUGGCUUCCGAAACUAUUUGGCUUGAGGCAUUCUGGGGGCGACUGGAACUCUUGGUGGAGCGGUGGUAUGCGUAGAUAUCAAGAGGAACGCCAGUGGUGAAGACGGGUCGCUGGGAAUGUCCUGACGCUGAGGCGCGAAAGCUAGGGGAGCGAACGGGAUUAGAAACCCCAGUAGUCC